This 346-nucleotide ribosomal RNA is filed under the name Rhizobium leguminosarum. RNAcentral describes it as "bacterial SSU rRNA". It matches the Rfam family "Bacterial small subunit ribosomal RNA", at positions 102 to 483 of the family's 1533-position model. Lineage: Bacteria; Pseudomonadati; Pseudomonadota; Alphaproteobacteria; Hyphomicrobiales; Rhizobiaceae. RNAcentral also lists the same sequence under 1 other name. The record is from RNAcentral.
ACGGGUGAGUAACACGUGGGAACGUACCCUUUACUACGGAACAACUCCGGGAAACUGGAGCUAAUACCGUAUGUGCCCUUCGGGGGAAAGAUUUAUCGGUAAAGGAUCGGCCCGCGUUGGAUUAGCUAGUUGGUGGGGUAAAGGCCUACCAAGGCGACGAUCCAUAGCUGGUCUGAGAGGAUGAUCAGCCACAUUGGGACUGAGACACGGCCCAAACUCCUACGGGAGGCAGCAGUGGGGAAUAUUGGACAAUGGGCGCAAGCCUGAUCCAGCCAUGCCGCGUGUGUGAUGAAGGCCUUAGGGUUGUAAAGCACUUUCACCGGAGAAGAUAAUGACGGUAUCCGGA